AUCUUGCGCAAUGGCCGCAAGGCUGACGCAGCGACGCCGCGUGAGGGAUGACGGCCUUCGGGUUGUAAACCUCUGUUGCCCGGGACGAACAAGCCUAUUCGUGGGCUCUGACGGUACCGGGUGAGGAAGCACCGGCUAACUCCGUGCCAGCAGCCGCGGUAAUACGGAGGGUGCGAGCGUUGUCCGGAAUCACUGGGCGUAAAGGGCGCGUAGGCGGUUCUCUAAGCGUGUGGUGAAAGUCCGGGGCUCAACCCCGGAUCGGCCGUGCGAACUGGGGGACUUGAGCACUGUAGAGGCAGGUGGAAUUCCGGGUGUAGCGGUGGAAUGCGUAGAGAUCCGGAAGAACACCAGGGGCGAAGGCGGCCUGCAGGGCAGUGGCUGACGCUGAGGCGCGACAGCGUGGGGAGCAAAC
Molecule: ribosomal RNA, 412 nt
Filed under: uncultured bacterium
Lineage: Bacteria
Description: bacterial SSU rRNA
Rfam family: Bacterial small subunit ribosomal RNA
Source: RNAcentral